GAGCUGUAAGCAGAGUCCAGUGCAGGACUCGAGCUCACGAACCCGUGAGAUCGUGACCUGAGCCGAAGUUGGAUGCUUAACUGACUGAGCCACCCAGGGCCCCCUGGAUUUUUAUUUUUUGAUGGUGCCCUUGGAGAAGUGAAGAUUGACCAAGACCUCAGGAAUUUAAAAAACUGAGGCAAACAAGUUUUAGUUUUAGUGAGAAUCACUUGGCAGAGAUUGCUGCUUCUCUUUGGACCCUCUGAGAAUAAAAGAAGACAACAGCAACCUUACAGAUUACGUGCACCUGGAGUUUCGUGUCUCCCUGCUUGUUGCCAAGACUCCUUCACUCCCAUAGAUUCAAGCCAACAGAUGAUCCUUCUACUCAAGAAGGGCAGAGCUAGCAGCAGAAGCACUAUCAGUAACGUCACUAACAGCCUGAUCUAGAGGUACACUGUGACCCUGACUUCAAAGACCAGUUGCUUUUUAGGGAGAGAAAACAACUCCUGGGAAAAUGAAACUCUUUCAAGUUCUCCAACAGGCUUCUGUUGAUCUAGCUACCACUGACUUCAGAUGAACCAGAUUUCCCUGCUUGUUUGUCUAAAUUCUCUAUCACAUGGUGACUAAAGCAUAUCUUCUGACAUUUCACAUCGAUCAUUAGAAACACCUUUAGGCAAUGGAUGACAUCAGAAUAAUUUGCAUUAGAAACCCUAUUAUUCACUGAGAUUAAUUAACAGUGUGGUAUUUACGGAAUUAGCGUUACAACUCCUCUUGUUGCUAGCUGUGGUUUGUGUCCCCUGCAGGGAUGACACUGAAUGAAAUCUUGCAAGUCAUUUCAAAAUAAAAUAACUCACUAUGAGAAGUAAAAUGUGCAUUGAGCCAGUCCCAGAAAAUACUUUAAAAAAUUUCUUGCAAAGCUCCCUUGUUUGCAUGUGUUAGAUUUUGGUUAGCUUUGCUCUAAUUAUAAGUUUAUUACUAACCUGAAAGUGUGAGAAUCUUAGCAACUAGCUUUGAAUACAAAAACGUUUUCUCCCAAACUCUCAAUGGCUUUGUUAAAGGAUUUGUUCUUUGAACUUCUUGGAACAGUAGCUGAUAUUUCAGCCUGGUAAUGUGUCCAUUUGCCUCAGUCAGUCCUGGUUUCUGACUCUUGUCUCAAUAUAAUUAUUAAUACUACCCCUUUUUUCUCCCCCAAAUUGUCUCUGGUUGAGUGAUAAAUUAUAUAGUCCCUCUGACUAUUGUGAACUUGAAGUUAAAGCAUUUCUCUCUUUUUUUAAUACAUGUUCUUAGAUGAGCUUAGUAAGACUUGAAUGUAAUAAUAACAGGUUUAAUACUUGAAGUAUAUGAAAUUUGAGAGUGGAUAAGGCCACUUCUUCCCUCUAAUCUGGCAAAUCAGAGUUCAGGUAUAUUGCCAAUUUAGACUUUAGGCAUACACAGACUUGACGUUUGUAAUGUUGGGCCAUACACGGAUGGUCCAGAAAGAAUUCUUGAAACAUUUUUGGGUGCGAACAGUUGCUUUUAUUACAGUAUGGGGACACGGUCCAUGGAAGAAAGAGCUGCAUGUUUGCUGUAUCAUCUGGUGGUUAUAUGCUUAGUGUUCAGAGAGGAGGGGACUUGAAGGAGUUGUAUCGGAUCAUAAAUAUCUUCUUCAAAUUUCUACUCAAAAAACUAUUUUUGCAAGAUUUUUCUGGUGCUUAUCAUUUAGCUUGAUAUUAAAUAUUGGUGAGUUGUACAGGCAGUCCUGAGACCCUUUAAGAAUGUAGCAGGCAGCAUGUAUUUGAUCCUUAUUGGAUCUUUGCAGGCUAUAGGUCAGCUUUCAGGGCUAAAGGUGGACAUGUUUUUGCUUCUAUCUCUCUUCAUUUUGAAGAUUCAUGGCAUACUGGAAUUUAUAAGUUUGGUGAGACACACAUUAGAAUCGUGCAAUUAGCCCAUUGCAGGAAAACCAGGUUUUGGUGGAACUUUAUUACAUAACUCCUAAAGUCUUCAAAACUUUGGUGUCUGCUGAAAGAAGCUCAUGUCUAGAUGCUCACUCAGCCCCCACGUUGUUUGAAUAAACUUGGGAAUUUGAGAACUGAGUCACAUGUUAGAUUCUCAAUAAAUAUUUAUUCAGUUGAA
This is a long non-coding RNA of Felis catus (domestic cat), 2091 nucleotides long. RefSeq lists it as uncharacterized. Lineage: Eukaryota; Metazoa; Chordata; Mammalia; Carnivora; Felidae. The record is from RefSeq and is a predicted model, not a curated record. The transcript is spliced from 4 exons.